This 594-nucleotide ribosomal RNA is filed under the name Trichoderma sp. zd 56. RNAcentral's name for it is "eukaryotic LSU rRNA". The stretch from base 197 to 350 matches the Rfam family "5.8S ribosomal RNA". RNAcentral also lists the same sequence under 1 other name. Lineage: Eukaryota; Fungi; Ascomycota; Sordariomycetes; Hypocreales; Hypocreaceae. The record is from RNAcentral.
UUUACAACUCCCAAACCCAAUGUGAACGUUACCAAACUGUUGCCUCGGCGGGAUCUCUGCCCCGGGUGCGUCGCAGCCCCGGACCAAGGCGCCCGCCGGAGGACCAACCAAAACUCUUAUUGUAUACCCCCUCGCGGGUUUUUUUAUAAUCUGAGCCUUCUCGGCGCCCCUCGUGGGCGUUUCGAAAAUGAAUCAAAACUUUCAACAACGGAUCUCUUGGUUCUGGCAUCGAUGAAGAACGCAGCGAAAUGCGAUAAGUAAUGUGAAUUGCAGAAUUCAGUGAAUCAUCGAAUCUUUGAACGCACAUUGCGCCCGCCAGUAUUCUGGCGGGCAUGCCUGUCCGAGCGUCAUUUCAACCCUCGAACCCCUCCGGGGGGUCGGCGUUGGGGAUCGGCCCUCCCUCUGCGGGGGCCGUCUCCGAAAUACAGUGGCGGUCUCGCCGCAGCCUCUCCUGCGCAGUAGUUUGCACACUCGCACCGGGAGCGCGGCGCGUCCACAGCCGUUAAACACCCAACUUUCUGAAAUGUUGACCUCGGAUCAGGUAGGAAUACCCGCUGAACUUAAGCAUAUCAAUAAGCGGAGGAAARAAACCCA